Molecule: ribosomal RNA, 254 nt
Filed under: uncultured bacterium
Lineage: Bacteria
Description: partial 16S ribosomal RNA
Rfam family: Bacterial small subunit ribosomal RNA
Source: RNAcentral
UACGGGAGGGGGCUAGCGUUGUUCGGAAUUACUGGGCGUAAAGCGCACGUAGGCGGCUUUGUAAGUUAGAGGUGAAAGCCCGGGGCUCAACUUCGGAAUUGCCUUUAAGACUGCAUCGCUAGAAUUGUGGAGAGGUAAGUGGAAUUCCGAGUGUAGAGGUGAAAUUCGUAGAUAUUCGGAAGAACACCAGUGGCGAAGGCGACUUACUGGACACAUAUUGACGCUGAGGUGCGAAAGCGUGGGGAGCAAACAGG